GCUUAAAACCUAGCCCCACCUUAUCGCAACUUAUGUAACCAAACUUCUUUAUUAAAUCUAAUAAAACAUUUUCAACAUCUAGUAAAGGCGAUUAAAAAAUGUCUAGGAGCCUUAAAAACAGUACCGCAAGGGAACGGUGAAAUAAAAAUGAAAUAACUUUAAAGCACCAAAAAGCAGAGACCAAACCUCGUACCUUUUGCAUCAUGGUCUAGCCAGUCCAACCAAGCAAAAAGCAAUUUAAGUUUGACCCCCCGAAACUAAGUGAGCUACUUCAAAACAGCCUUUUAGGGCCAACCCGUCUCUGUUGCAAAAGAGUGGGAAGAUUUUCAAGUAGAGGUGACAGACCUACCGAACUUAGAGAUAGCUGGUUAUUCAGGAAAAGGAUCUUAGUCCUACCUUAAACCCUCAAAAUAAUUUUUAAUACACCAAUGGGCUUAAGAGCUAUUCAAAUAAGGUACAGCCUAUUUGAAACAGGAUACAACCUCAACAAUAGGGUAAUGAAUUCUUAACAUAUGACCAAGUGGGCCUAAGAGCAGCCACCUUCAAAAAAGCGUUAAAGCUUAAUCAUUAAAUUAACCUAAUUCCACCAAUUUCACCAAAACCCUUACCCAAUACUGAAUGAUUCUAUACAUGUAUAGAAAACUAUAUGCUAGAACUAGUAAUAAGAAGAAGACCUUCUCCAAAAUAUAAGUGUGAGCCGAAAUGAACAACUCACCGGCACUUAACGCAACUGAACCAAUAGUAGCAACCCUACAAGAAAACCCUACCUCAACAUGCGUCAACCUUACACUAGUAUAUUCCUGGAAAGAUUAAAAGAGAAGGAAGGAACUCGGCAAACUAUUAACCCCGCCUGUUUACCAAAAACAUCGCCUCUUGAAAAAAUAUAAGAGGUCCAGCCUGCCCAGUGACAAAGUUAAACGGCCGCGGUACCCUAACCGUGCGAAGGUAGCGCAAUCACUUGUUCUUUAAAUGAGGACUAGUAUGAAUGGCAUCACGAGGGUUAUACUGUCUCCCUUCUCCAAUCAAUGAAACUGACCUCCCCGUGAAGAGGCGGGGAUAACACUAUAAGACGAGAAGACCCCAUGGAGCUUAAAACUCAGCACCAAUUACCUAACCACACUCCAUCUUAAUCCGGUAAUUAUGGCCUCUGGUUUUCGGUUGGGGUGACCGCGGAGUAAAACAAAACCUCCACGAUGAAUGGACCAACGCUCCUAAUCAUAGAGCCACAGCUCAAAGAAUCAAAAAAUUGACAAAAAUUGAUCCAAUUAAUUUUGAUCAACGAACCAAGUUACCCUGGGGAUAACAGCGCAAUCCACUUCAAGAGCCCCUAUCGACAAGUGGGUUUACGACCUCGAUGUUGGAUCAGGGUAUCCCAGUGGUGCAGUCGCUACUAAAGGUUCGUUUGUUCAACGAUUAAAACCCUACGUGAUCUGAGUUCAGACCGGAGAAAUCCAGGUCGGUUUCUAUCUAUAAAGAGUUUCUCCUAGUACGAAAGGACCGGAGCAACAUGGCCAAUAUUACAAACAAGCCAUACCUGAACAUUAAUGACUACAACUCAAUUAACACCAGCCUUCUACCAAAAACCAAGAUAAGAAAU
This 1597-nucleotide ribosomal RNA is filed under the name Kaloula walteri. Its description in RNAcentral is "16S ribosomal RNA". It matches the Rfam family "Bacterial large subunit ribosomal RNA", at positions 378 to 2925 of the family's 2925-position model. Lineage: Eukaryota; Metazoa; Chordata; Amphibia; Anura; Microhylidae. The record is from RNAcentral.